Molecule: ribosomal RNA, 468 nt
Filed under: uncultured bacterium
Lineage: Bacteria
Description: partial 16S ribosomal RNA
Rfam family: Bacterial small subunit ribosomal RNA
Source: RNAcentral
GACGAACGCUGGCGGCGUGCUUAACACAUGCAAGUCGAACGGAAAGGCCCUGCUUUUGUGGGGUGCUCGAGUGGCGAACGGGUGAGUAACACGUGAGUAACCUGCCCUUGACUUUGGGAUAACUUCAGGAAACUGGGGCUAAUACCGGAUAGGAGCUCCUGCUGCAUGGUGGGGGUUGGAAAGUUUCGGCGGUUGGGGAUGGACUCGCGGCUUAUCAGCUUGUUGGUGGGGUAGUGGCUUACCAAGGCUUUGAUGGGUAGCCGGCCUGAGAGGGUGACCGGCCACAUAGGGACUGAGAUACGGCCCAUACUCCUACGGGAGGCAGCAGUGGGGAAUAUUGCACAAUGGGCGGAAGCCUGAUGCAGCGACGCCGCGUGCGGGAGGACGGCCUUCGGGUUGUAUACCGCUUUCGCCUGUGACGAAGCGUGAGUGACGGUAAUGGGUAAAGAAGCACCGGCUAACUACGUG